AGAGCUCCACCGGGCGGCGGCGCCGCCGCCGCCCUACCCCGCCGUUUGGAACCACCACCCCUGCCGCUGCAGGAACCAUAGGGAGGAGCGGUUCUUCCCCAGGUCGGCGGCGGCGCCGCCCUCCUCCACCUUGUGGAACCACCACCUCCACCGCUGCAGGAAACAGAGGGAGGAGCGGUCCUUCCCCAAGUCGGCGGUGGCGCCGCCCUCCUCCGCCUCGUGGAACCACCACCACCACCGCUGCAGGAAACAGAGGGAGGAGCGGUUCUCCCCCAAGUCGGCGGCCGCGCCCGCUCCAUCCGCCGCUGCUCCUCCUCCGGCAACAUCGCCGGAGAGCAGGAGUAGGAGGAGGGAGAGCUCGAUCAUGG
Molecule: long non-coding RNA, 368 nt
Filed under: Spirodela polyrhiza (greater duckweed)
Lineage: Eukaryota; Viridiplantae; Streptophyta; Magnoliopsida; Alismatales; Araceae
Description: long non-coding RNA (SPOL_LNC000241)
Source: RNAcentral